UUUAGAGGUCUUCCUUUUUAGUGUCUUACCUGCUGUUGGAGCAUGCCUAUCCAUGUAUGAUAUUUUUUUACAUUCGAAGAAAGCUUUUCAAGAGAAAAGUACUCUAUCAUCAGUGGAUGUUCAGAUGUUCCCAAUUCUAAGUCUGGGCAAUAAUUAUGCUACACUGGAAGUAUGACUGCUGGUGCUCUAUUUUAUGCAACCGAGUGCUGUGCUUUUGUUGGAUAGCAAAAGCUCUGUUUGAGUUUCCUCAUUUAGUAGUUUUCUCAUUGCCCGAGGUAAUUAGAUGGCUUAAAGAGAGUUUUCUACACUAGUGGUAUUCUGCAACACUGUCAGAGUAAUGAAACUUCCAAUGG
Papaver somniferum (opium poppy) is the source of this 353-nucleotide long non-coding RNA. RefSeq lists it as uncharacterized. The record is from RefSeq and is a predicted model, not a curated record. The transcript has 3 exons. Lineage: Eukaryota; Viridiplantae; Streptophyta; Magnoliopsida; Ranunculales; Papaveraceae.